GGCGGUUGCAGCCGUGGGCUCUGGGUUCGCAUCCCGACUCGGCAGCAUCCUAAGGGGCGAUCCUCAGGGAGUUUCCUGAACCUGGAGCCUGUUUCUCAGAUGUUCAGAGGAAAUCACAGCCCCUGCCUACAGCAUAGCACCCAGGAUUCCAUGUUUUCGUUGGCCCUGAAAUGCCUUAUCAGUCUGUCCACCAUCAUCCUUUUGGGUUUGAUCAUCGCCUAUCACACACGUGAAGUCCAGCUCUUCGUGAUAGACAAUGGUGCGGACGACUGGCGGAUAGCCAUGACCUACGAGCGCAUCCUCUACAUCAGCUUGGAGAUGCUGGUGUGCGCCAUCCACCCCAUUCCUGGCGAGUACAAGUUCUUCUGGACGGCGCGCCUGGCCUUCUCCUACACACCCUCGUGGGCGGAGGCCGACGUGGACAUCAUCCUGUCCAUCCCGAUGUUCCUGCGCCUGUACCUGAUCGCCCGCGUCAUGCUACUGCACAGCAAGCUCUUCACCGACGCCUCGUCCCGCAGCAUCGGGGCCCUCAACAAGAUCAACUUCAACACGCGCUUCGUCAUGAAGACCCUCAUGACCAUCUGCCCCGGCACCGUGCUCCUCGUGUUCAGCAUCUCACUGUGGAUCAUCGCUGCCUGGACCGUCCGCGUCUGCGAAAGGUACCAUGACCAGCAGGACGUAACUAGUAACUUUCUGAGUGCCAUGUGGCUCAUCUCUAUCACAUUCCUUUCCAUUGGUUAUGGGGAUAUGGUGCCCCACACAUACUGUGGGAAAGGUGUCUGUCUUCUCACGGGCAUCACGGGUGCGGGCUGUACUGCCCUGGUGGUGGCCGUGGUGGCCCGAAAGCUGGAACUCACCAAAGCAGAGAAGCACGUUCACAACUUCAUGAUGGACACUCAGCUCACCAAACGGAGAAACAAACAACACGAAAGGAGUGGCUCUUACAGAGAGAGGAUUCUCAAAGCUGGCAAGACUGGAAAGAUCAAGAAUGCUGCAGCCAAUGUCCUUCGGGAAACGUGGCUUAUCUAUAAACACACAAAGCUGCUCAAGAAGAUUGACCACGCCAAAGUCAGGAAACACCAGAGGAAGUUCCUCCAAGCAAUCCACCAACUGAGGAGCGUCAAGAUGGAGCAGAGGAAGCUGAGUGACCAAGCCAACACCCUGGUGGACCUUUCCAAGAUGCAGAACGUCAUGUAUGACUUAAUCACAGAACUCAAUGAUCGGAGCGAAGAUCUGGAGAAACAAAUCGGCAGUCUGGAGUCUAAGCUGGAGCACCUCACCACCAGCGUCAAUUCCCUACCCCUGCUCAUCGCGGACACCCUGCGCCAGCAGCAGCGGCAGCUCCUGUCUGCCCUCACGGAGGCCCGGGGCGUCAGCGUGGCAGUGGGCACCACCCACACCCCACUCUCCGACAGCCCAAUCGGGGUCAGCUCCACCUCCUUCCCAACCCCGUACACGAGUUCAAGCAGUUGCUAAAUCAAACUCCCCACUUCAGAAGCAUUACCCAUAGGUCUUAAGAUGCAAAUCAACUCUCUCCUGGUCACUUUGCCAUCAAGGAACAUUCAGACCAGGGAACUUAAAGAAGAGAGACCGAGCUAAUUAACUAACUCAUGUUCAUUCAGCGUGCUUGGUUUGAUAUGCCUUGAAACCAGAAAUCUGAUCUCUGUUUAGGUGCCUCUACUCGGGAGCAGGAAGAGGAGAUGACAGGAAGCGACGCCUCUGGAAUGGUGCUCCUGUUUUCAGUGACAGCUGAACAUAUCAACAGACCAAUAAGCAGAUGAAAUAACCAUGCAGUUUCUUUGUGGUGUUAGUUCAUGUCACAAAGAAAUGAAGUGAAGAGCACUGACAGGUCAACCUGAGCAUGCCAAUCCCAAUCAUCUAACCUACAGCCCUCAAUUCUUAAUUCCUAGUCACCCUUCCCAUUCCCCUGUAACCCUGUGAUGUGUGUGUGUGUGUGUGUGUGUGUGUGUGUGCGUGUAUGUGCACGUGCACACAAAUAGGGAUUUAAUCCGAAUUUCAAACAAAUGGCACAUGCAAGAUUCCACUGCUACUCCUCCUGCCAAAAAGUGUGUGCAGACUGUCAUUGACCCAUCGCUGUCUGUGGGUGACUCUUCUUUAACCCACCACUAAUGCUAUUCACUUAGGUAAAUCCUGAUGACCAACCUAGCAACACUAGCAAAGAGAGUGGUUGGAGAUAUUUCCAGUAGCAGUAGCCACUGGCAUGCUGGAAACAUAUAGGCAUUUGUAGCAUGACUGGACCUAUUGGUAGUGCAAUAGCUACGUAUGGUUUUUAUCCUUGGCGAAAGAGUACUUACUCUUCGGAAAAAAAAAAAAGGGGAUCAAAUCUGCAUGUUGAUCCUGCAGUGGUAAAUGGGAGGCUGCUUCUCUGUACUGGUUUUUUAGCUUUAUGUGGGGAAGUUGCCCAUUCUCCUGCAAGUACAAUCAACCCUUGAUGACUUAGGUAUUGAUUAUCCAGGGUGUAGCUCACCCAGGUUUCCUUCCUACAGCCCAUCUUUUGGCUAAUUCCACUGAGCCUCAGCAUCUUAGUCAGAUGGGAAAAGGGGGCAGGUGGAUUCUCAUGCCAUGCCUUCUUGUUCUGUAAUUUCAAGUUUGGUGGUGGAGGAGGUUUAAUUAUCUACUCAAGAAUUGGCUAUAUGGAAAAACUAUUAAUUACAGUAACCUCACUCCAGUACUGAACUGAUUGAGUUCUGCCCACUCCUGGAAGGAUGACCGAGUGGCAGAGCCCCUACCAUAAUCCUUCUGAUAACUCAGUGCCAGGUAAAAGUACUCUAAUAUUCCCUAAAAUAUCUAGACACUUGAAUUAAAAAUACAGAGCCACCCCCUCAUCGCUUAAGCCAUAUUAUAGCUUCAUGUACUGUAAAGUCAGGGAUGUACUGUGAUACUUUAAGACCACUGAUCUCAGUGGAAUUUCAGGACAUAGCAUCAGUUGGUAAAUUAUACCAGACUAGGGACUCACUCCUCCUUAGAUUGAAGUCCAAAUAAAAAUCUGCAUCUUUGGAUCAAAGGCCACAUAUGUGUGAUCAUCAUCAAUAAAUUUAUCCUGAAGUGUCUAUGAACUGCUCUUGCCAUCCUCAUAAUAUGUAACUUCAUGACAUCAUAUCUCUAGAAAUGCUAAUGCAAUGCAAAAGAGCAAGAGGGAUAAGGCCCUGCAUCACCACUAACCUCUGACCUCAGCAAGUACCAGUGGUGUAACAACAAUCUCAUAACUGAAGGAGGUAUAGAAAAUGUCUGUGCAAGUAAUUUCCAAAGUGCUGAGCAAGUGCAAACUAUUGUUAUUUAUUAAAGGCCAAGAAGAAACAGCAUUGAAGAAACAAUGAUUUUAAUAUAUAAUAUUUGAGGCUUUCCCCCUUAGAUUUUUGAUAAUGUCUUGUGAAUAAGUAAUGAUGGAAGAGAAGAAAACUAGAGGGGCAGAAUGAGAAUAAAUAAAACUCUAACACUGGAUCCACAUCUUUGGCCAAUGAAUAUAAUCACCUCAUGCCUCAAUUUCUCUAUGCUUAAAAUGAAGGUAACAGUUAAUAUUCUUAAGUACAAAGUAUUCAGUAGAUUUUUAAAUGAGAUCACUAUUGCCAACAACAGCAGCCCAAACUGCCUCUGUCAAGUCCAUACUUUGAUGUUGCCUUUGAAUGUAGUCAAUAGUUACCAAAAAGUAAUUCUUACAUAUCACCCUAUGUGAAAUUAGCAGGGAGAAGUAUGGGAUUAGCACAUAGUCCCAGGACCUCUCUCCUUCAGAGCAUACCUCAACAAACAGUGCACCCCAAAUUAAGAAUCAGUGUUUCAUCCCAGAACCCAUGGUGUUGCUACCAUCACAGUACCACAACUGAGACACUAUGAAGUCAUUGCACUACCAGUAGGUUACGGCUCUUUUAAAGUUACUGCUUUUAAAUCCUAAAAUACGUCCCAGUUCUACACCAUCAUCCUACUUCCCUGGAUGUUGCUUAGAAGCAGAUGAAGGCUCCGUCAGUGGCCACUUGGCUGCCCCUAUUGACUCUGUGGCAUUCGGUUUCAGUACCUUAGACAGCUAUCUGGUGGCUUCCUGGUAGGCGGGAACAGCCCCUUCCCUUCCCUGCAGUCAGUCAGCUUAAUGACGCCCUGGACAGUAUCCCUUCCUUCUCUACUGCCGCCAAAGUAAACACUGUGGGAACGGGAUCAUUGAUACCACUAAGAAAGGAAUGUUACAGGGAUAGCAAUAUUAACUGUCUGCCUCUGGCAGUAGAAGAUAGGUGAGUGCUCUUCCUCCUGAAAGCUUGUGCCAGGCUGCAUGAAUAGUUAACACUAAACUCCUGUCAGACAAGUAAUAUGUAGAUUUUUACUCAAAUAGACCGAAGCUUAUUAAAAGUACUCAGUGCAAUGGUAUAUAAAUAUACACAGAUAGAGAAAACAAAUAACUGUGAUCUUUUUUUCUUACACCAUUACUGGAAAUGCCCAAACAUGAACUGGAGUUCCCUCUGAACAAAACCAUUAUGAAAUUCAUCAACGUAUGACCUCCAAAUCUAGGUGCCAAGUGCCCUGCCACAGUUGUUUACACACCUGAGAAACGUGUUCUGGAAGCUGUACUCUUGGGCCUGGACCAUGUGUUGAAACAAACAAAAGAGACGUUGUGACCAACCAAGCUGAUGGAGGAAAAGCACAAAAUUCAACACCAACCUAUAGUUCGGAUCCCAAAGAGAUGCUGAAUUUAUAGCCAAAAAAAAAAAAAAAAAAAAUAUAUAUAUAUAUAUAUAUAGACAAAGCAAAUAUCAAUCUGAUCGGAACAGCCAACAUCCAAGUUCACAGAAGAAGGACAGGGAAUAAACAACAUUCUCUAGCUGUGUCAUAUUGUCUCAGUUUUUGAAUCUCAACCGGGACU
This is an RNA transcript of Physeter macrocephalus (sperm whale), 4867 nucleotides long. It is a transcript of the gene named potassium calcium-activated channel subfamily N member 3, with no coding region annotated. Lineage: Eukaryota; Metazoa; Chordata; Mammalia; Artiodactyla; Physeteridae. The record is from RefSeq and is a predicted model, not a curated record. The transcript has 10 exons.